CACAAAGCCACAACGCAGGCUCUCUAGAGAGCGCGCAGGCCAUCUCACUGCUCACAAUGUCAUCCGGUAGCCAUGGCAGCUCUGCCUCUUCUCGUUUCCGGAGCGGAGGUACCUCUCCCAUCCCGUAUCGCGUGCACCCCAUGGACUACGAGCCUUCCGUUAACUGCUACUGCGGCCGAAAGGCACCGCUCCUGACCUCUUGGACCGACGCCAAUCCCGGCCGGAGGUACCUGUGCUGUUCACGGGCGACGCAGGGAUGCGGGUUCUGGCGCUGGUUUGACCCGAGGGCUAGCCCCUACCUUAGACAGCUACUCCUCGAUCUGCGAAGCAAGAUCGUUCGCAUGGAGGGCAAGAACGCACUACUGCACAUGUCUCUGGAGCAAGCCCUGUGCAAAGCAAGGCGCUGACAGAGCUUCAGCUCACGGCUCGUUGCGUUUCUACUGAUGGUAAUUCUGUUCUUCAUCUGCGUCUCGGCUUGGUCUGGUGUACCGUCUGCUUGAUCUUUGCAUCUGUGAUGUCGAUGGUCAUAAGUUAUGUAGGUCCUAAGGCGAGUAAUCAAGGCUGUGAAAACACCCAAAAAAAUGUAUCUGGAAGCUGUGUCGUGGUGGGCGCGUUACUAAUGAGAGGGAAACUUGUAUUAGACUCCGUGUGAGUGUUGUAUGGUGCAAAUCGUGUCCAUUAAGACUGGAGUGUGUCGGCUGUUCCAUUAUCCUGUUAGUAUAAAUAAUCAUCAAGUUGUUUUCCAUGGUAUCUCGGUCAAAAGCGCGGUAGCUCUACUGCGUGUCAUCAGACUGUACAAGGUGUAAGCGCUGACCUGCGCGUUCUGUUGUGCUGCGGCCUCUGAUGG
RNAcentral lists this ribosomal RNA (847 nucleotides) under Triticum aestivum (bread wheat). RNAcentral describes it as "partial small subunit ribosomal RNA". The record is from RNAcentral. Lineage: Eukaryota; Viridiplantae; Streptophyta; Magnoliopsida; Poales; Poaceae.